AUUCGGGCUGAUAACUAGGCGGCCGGUCUCAAUCACCUACGACGUCUGCCUUUUAAGUGUCCGAUAUAUCAAUUUGCGAAGAUCUUACACGUUUCCAAAGCGCUAUCAUAGCAUUUUCUGUAUUUGACGACUUUUAAAUCUUCACAACAUAC
RNAcentral lists this small nucleolar RNA (152 nucleotides) under Penicillium griseofulvum. The record is from RNAcentral. Lineage: Eukaryota; Fungi; Ascomycota; Eurotiomycetes; Eurotiales; Aspergillaceae.